AAGGUGGUUAGCCGUAUAAAAUUGACAAUAAUCUAUCUUUGCAUUAAUCCUUCUGUGCUAUCAACAUUUAGCAGAUUAACAAGCAUUAUACAAAUCUCACCCUGAAGCUAACACUUUUCACCGUCAUCACAGUUUCAAAGCAAGUUUGAGGCUCUGACAAUCCGCCAACAUAGUCACUUAUCAUUUCAUUUCAUAAUCAUUGAAUAAGAUCUAAAUUAUUGGGCGUGGCCAAUACGCUGUGAAGCCAUUUGCAUUGUUGCUUGCACCCAACAGCAGACCCCUAGGUUUUUCUCCUGCUUUAUAAGAAACAGCUCAAUAAUGGAGAUAUUUCGUUUUGGUGUUUUCGUUACAGUGCUCUGUGCCUAUUUGGUUGCUUCUAACGCUGGAGAUGUACUACGGUGCCAACUGUUCACUACCAGUGAACUAAGAAUCUGUUGACAUUGUAAUAACUCCUGGUGAAGUAAGAGCUGGAGGAAAAGAAAAAGUGAAGAUCACAUGUAUAGACAAAAAGUACGCCACUAAAGUAUAUGCCAUAACUAUUUCCAAAGAUGGUAGAGAUAUUGUUACCAUUGAACCUCCAAAGAAAGCAAGCUGGGUGGAUAAUGAUAUGUUAAGAAGAUCUUACCUAAUCAACACCCACAUCAGUGCUGGUAAUUCAAUUGCUACCCUAUAUGUGACCAUCCCUCGUGGCUGGGACACUGGCAUAUACAGGUGUACUGUUCAGAAGACACCACGUCCAGAAACUUCCAGACCAAUGGCAUUGAAAGUCAACGGAUCCAGUCUACCUCGAAUGGAUAUGAUGUUGGUACUUUUAGUUGCUGCAAAUAUGGUAUAUUCUGUGAUGAAAAGUUAAAUAUUUUUCUUUCAACAUCAUUAACAAGACUGGUUAGCUCCAGGGGAUCUAAACAAUGAAAUUAAAACACUCCAACACACAUGCAAAUGUACACAGAAUACAAAUAAAAUCCAUUGACAAACUAUUAAAUGUUCCUGACAGCAAAACCUAAUCAUCAGUAGGUUGAUAGUAUUUUUACAACAUAAUGCUAUAUUGUUCAGCUGGGAUUGUAGAUUGGAAUACCAGAGAAGAAUUUGAAUGAAAGAAAAGAGU
RNA transcript from Octopus sinensis (East Asian common octopus), 1105 nucleotides. RefSeq lists it as uncharacterized. Lineage: Eukaryota; Metazoa; Mollusca; Cephalopoda; Octopoda; Octopodidae. The record is from RefSeq and is a predicted model, not a curated record. The transcript has 6 exons.